GAUGAAGAACGCAGCGAAAUGCGAUACGUAAUGUGAAUUGCAGAAUUCAGUGAAUCAUCGAAUCUUUGAACGCAUAUUGCGCUCUCUGGUAUUCCGGAGAGCAUGCUUGUUUGAGUAUCAGUAAACACCUCAACUUCCAUAUCUUUUUUGAAAUGGGAGUUGGACUUGAGUGAUCCCAACGCUUUUCCUCACCGAAAAGUGGCGGGUUACUUGAAAUGCAGGUGCAGCUGGACUUUUCUCUGAGCUAUAAGCAUAUCUAUUUAGUCUGCCUAAAAAACAGAUUAGUACCUUUGCUGCAGCUAACAUAAAGGAGAUUAGUUCUUGUGCUGACUGAUGCAGGAUUCACAAAGACAGCUUCGGCCGACUUUGUAAACUCGAUCUCAAAUCAAGUAAGACUACCCGCUGAACUUAAGCAUAUCAAUAAGCGGAGGA
Molecule: unclassified non-coding RNA, 432 nt
Filed under: soil metagenome
Description: partial contains 5.8S ribosomal RNA, internal transcribed spacer 2, and large subunit ribosomal RNA
Rfam family: 5.8S ribosomal RNA (bases 1-120)
Source: RNAcentral